This is a long non-coding RNA of Ixodes scapularis (black-legged tick), 414 nucleotides long. RefSeq lists it as uncharacterized. The transcript is spliced from 3 exons. The record is from RefSeq and is a predicted model, not a curated record. NCBI's taxonomy places the organism in Eukaryota, Metazoa, Arthropoda, Arachnida, Ixodida, Ixodidae.
AGGUCUGAAUUACGCGAGGAUCGUCUCGAAGCAUGGUAGCCUCAACAGACGCUUGCCGCCACACGCGAGGAGAAAGCAGGAGGCCCGAAGUUUGAAUGUGAAGAGGAGGUGCGAAGAGCUGGCCCUCACUUUUUCAAGGCAGCCGCAGAACACUACGAGCCCCGAAUCACUGCCGCGGCUGACUCACGCGGAUGCUGUGCUGCACCCUGCACUGCACAUGGUUCGAAGCAAACUUCAGGGGACCAGUGCAUGCCCCUGAUGCAUCGUCGCGAAGCACUGUAUGGCUCUCUGCACGCUAGAAUGGGGGCUGUCGUUGAUGCUCGCAGAGGCGUCGCCCACAACUAAGCAGACGACCAAAGUCCUGAGCAGGUGACUAAUCGUUUCAUUGUUCUUUGGUAGUGAAAGGUAGAUAAU